Molecule: small nucleolar RNA, 70 nt
Organism: Pipistrellus kuhlii (Kuhl's pipistrelle)
Lineage: Eukaryota; Metazoa; Chordata; Mammalia; Chiroptera; Vespertilionidae
Product: small nucleolar RNA SNORD34
Exons: 1
Source: RefSeq, a predicted model, not a curated record
CGGCGUCCGUGAUGAUCGCGAUUACCUACAUUGUUUGACCCCCGUGAGAACAGCCCUGGCUGAGACGCCU